RNAcentral lists this unclassified non-coding RNA (272 nucleotides) under uncultured fungus. Its description in RNAcentral is "sequence contains ITS1". Lineage: Eukaryota; Fungi. The record is from RNAcentral.
CCGAGUGGCUCGGUGAAUCCCCGAUGCGAAUUGGGGAUGCCGGUUACCCGACCUCAUGUCAUUUUUGCUCCGGGCUGCGGGUGUCGUCGACUUGGUCCGCCGGGUGCGUGCGUGCGAGCGUGCGUGCGUGGCGGGGCGGUGGGCGAUGCCGGGGCCGGUAUGAGAACUUCGGCGGAAGGGUAGGCUUGAGACCUGCCCGCGCCGGCCGCAAAACGUCAACUCUUUGUGAGAACGAUGAAGUCUUUUUGUACAAACAAAAUUGAAAAAAAGCA